RNAcentral lists this ribosomal RNA (531 nucleotides) under Ischnura hastata. Its description in RNAcentral is "partial large subunit ribosomal RNA". It matches the Rfam family "Eukaryotic large subunit ribosomal RNA", at positions 1410 to 1884 of the family's 3401-position model. Lineage: Eukaryota; Metazoa; Arthropoda; Insecta; Odonata; Coenagrionidae. The record is from RNAcentral.
UCUGGGCUCGAGCCUGCCUGGAGCCGCCGCCGGUGCAGAUCUUGGUGGUAGUAGCAAAUACUCCAGCGAGGCCCUGGAGGACUGAUGUGGAGAAGGGUUUCGUGUGAACAGCCGUUGCACACGAGUCAGUCGAUCCUAAGCCCUAGGAGAAAUCCGACGCCUACGGCGACGGGAAAAAUUUUCGAAAGAAAUCCACCCGUUGAUCGGGCGAAAGGGAAUCCGGUUCCUAUUCCGGAACCCGGCAGCGGAACCGCUGUUUGUCGGGCCCUCACAAGGGGUUCGUCAGGGUAACCUAAAAGGGCCCGGAGACGCCGUCGGGAGCCCCGGAAAGAGUUUUCUUUUCUGCAUGAGCGUUCGAGUUCCCUGGAAUCCUCUCGCAGGGAGAUAGGGUUUGGAACGCGAAGAGCACCGCAGUUGCGGCGGUGCCCGGGAAUUCCCGACGGACCUUGAAAAUCCGGGAGAGGGCCACGUGGAGGUGUCGCGCCGGCUCGUACCCAUAUCCGCAGCAGGUCUCCAAGGUGAAGAGCCUCU